Molecule: ribosomal RNA, 406 nt
Filed under: uncultured bacterium
Lineage: Bacteria
Description: partial 16S ribosomal RNA
Rfam family: Bacterial small subunit ribosomal RNA
Source: RNAcentral
AUUGAACGCUGGCGGCAGGCCUAACACAUGCAAGUCGCGCGAGCGGCGGACGGGUGAGUAAUGUCUGGGAAACUGCCUGAUGGAGGGGGAUAACUACUGGAAACGGUAGCUAAUACCGCAUACCAUCAGAUGUGCCCAGAUGGGAUUAGCUAGUCGGGUGGGUAACGGCUCACCUAGGCGACGAUACCUCGCUGGUCUGAGAGGAUGACCAGCCACACUGGAACUGAGACACGGUCCAGACUCCUACGGGAGGCAGCAGUGUGUAAUAUUGCACAAUGGGCGCAAGCCUGAUGAAGCCAUGCCGCGUGUGUGAAGAAGGCCUUCGGGUUGUAAAGCACUUUCAGCGGGGAGGCGUUACCCGCAGAAGAAGCACCGGCUAACUCCGGGCCAGCAGCCGCUGUAAUUC